CCAACGGCCGCUGUGUAGGUGAGAGUACAGACUUGGGCCGGAGCGCGGGGCCUAGGCGGGCUAGCGCGAGACGCGGAGUGGAGAAGACACUUUUACUGCGUGGCGCGCGGUGAGGGCACUCGAGCCCUGGACCUGCCGCGCCCGCUCGAUUUUCCGCGGCUGUUUAAGGAGUAGCGCUUCGGUAGCCGGGGAGCUGGAGGGGAACCUGAUUUGAAAUCAAUUCUUGAAGAACACAAAGAAGUGUGGUGGUAUGUUCCAGGAUUGAACCAGCUGCCCUUUGACCCUGCCAACAACAACGAGCCCCUGCAGUUUGGUAGUGCCAGUGGCCCUCUGGUCACAGAAGGCCUCAUUGAGAAUGGAGGGGAAUCAAGCAAGAAAAGAAAGAGAACAAAUACUCC
This is a long non-coding RNA of Marmota marmota marmota (Alpine marmot), 398 nucleotides long. Lineage: Eukaryota; Metazoa; Chordata; Mammalia; Rodentia; Sciuridae. The record is from Ensembl.